RNAcentral lists this ribosomal RNA (190 nucleotides) under Salmonella enterica. Its description in RNAcentral is "partial 16S ribosomal RNA". It matches the Rfam family "Bacterial small subunit ribosomal RNA", at positions 1 to 184 of the family's 1533-position model. RNAcentral also lists the same sequence under 2 other names. The record is from RNAcentral. Lineage: Bacteria; Pseudomonadati; Pseudomonadota; Gammaproteobacteria; Enterobacterales; Enterobacteriaceae.
AAAUUGAAGAGUUUGAUCAUGGCUCAGAUUGAACGCUGGCGGCAGGCCUAACACAUGCAAGUCGAACGGUAACAGGAAGCAGCUUGCUGCUUUGCUGACGAGUGGCGGACGGGUGAGUAAUGUCUGGGAAACUGCCUGAUGGAGGGGGAUAACUACUGGAAACGGUGGCUAAUACCGCAUAAUGUCGCAA